This 87-nucleotide ribosomal RNA is filed under the name Pelobates cultripes (western spadefoot toad). The record is from RNAcentral. Lineage: Eukaryota; Metazoa; Chordata; Amphibia; Anura; Pelobatidae.
GCCUACGGCCAUACCACCCUGAACACGCCCGAUCUCGUCUGAUCUCGGAAGCUAAGCAGGGUCGGGCCUGGUUAGUACUUGUUGGCU